UAGCGUUGUCCGAGAAAAUUUGAAAUGGU
This 29-nucleotide small RNA is filed under the name Bombyx mori (domestic silkworm). Its description in RNAcentral is "piRNA piR-bmo-1965208". Lineage: Eukaryota; Metazoa; Arthropoda; Insecta; Lepidoptera; Bombycidae. The record is from RNAcentral.